GGAUCUGUAGCCCAAAUGGAAGAGGCAACAGGCUUAGACCCUGUUCAGUGUGGGUUCGACUCCCUCCAGAUUCACCA
This 77-nucleotide transfer RNA is filed under the name Mycobacterium phage MrMagoo. Its description in RNAcentral is "tRNA-Leu". It matches the Rfam family "tRNA". From Rfam's summary of the family: Transfer RNA (tRNA) molecules are approximately 80 nucleotides in length. Their secondary structure includes four short double-helical elements and three loops (D, anti-codon, and T loops). The record is from RNAcentral. RNAcentral also lists the same sequence under 2 other names. Lineage: Duplodnaviria; Heunggongvirae; Uroviricota; Caudoviricetes; Vilmaviridae.